UAAACUUUGAAAACAUACAUUCUAGUGAAUAAUUAGAGAUAUUCUAUUCAUAAACUUUGAAAACAUACAUUCUAGUGAAUAAUGAGAGAGAUUAUAUUCAUAAACUUUGAAAACAUACAUUCUAGUGAAUUAUUUCUAGAAACGUUUUGCACACAUUCACAUUCGAAACUGUUGAACUUCAAUUCUUUGAGAGAACAACAUCAGCAACAACAGUAACAACAACAACAACAAAGUAUUUCAAUAAAAUAUCGCACAAAAAAUUAAUCUUUACAAAAUUCAAACAUGAAAAAUCAAAGUAAGAAGCUUGCUCAAAGUUCGAUAAAUGAAAAACAUGAUCAGGUUAGGAAGACACUGCCAAAUCUUGGAAACAUUGCCAGGAAGAGGAAAUAGAGUUCUAGGCAAUUGUUCAAAGACAACACCAUAAUGGUUGGAUGAGUUAUAUGUAAAGGUGGACACAAUUGGCAAACACCUUGUGCACCCAACCAUUCACUGAAGGACGCAGAAUGAAUGUAAAAUAAAAACAAGACCACUUAAGAUACAAAAGUAAAUACACAAAUAAUACCUCCCCCCCCCUUUUUA
This is a non-coding RNA of Biomphalaria pfeifferi, 579 nucleotides long. The record is from the annotation of a GenBank genome assembly. NCBI's taxonomy places the organism in Eukaryota, Metazoa, Mollusca, Gastropoda, Planorbidae.